GUAACCCCUGCUGCCAGUUGCCAACGGGUGAAGCCGGGCACUCUGGCGGGACUGCCAUCGACAAGAUGGAGGAAGGUGGGGAUGACGUCAAGUCAUCAUGGCCCUUAUGUCCAGGGCGACACACGUGCUACAAUGGCCGGCACAGCGGGAAGCGAGGCAGUGAUGCCGAGCGGAUCCCUUAAAGCCGGUCUCAGUUCGGAUUGAAGUCUGCAACUCGACUUCAUGAAGCUGGAAUCGCUAGUAAUCGCAGAUCAGCCAAGCUGCGGUGAAUACGUUCCCGGGCCUU
Molecule: ribosomal RNA, 286 nt
Filed under: uncultured Synergistaceae bacterium
Lineage: Bacteria; Thermotogati; Synergistota; Synergistia; Synergistales; Synergistaceae
Description: partial 16S ribosomal RNA
Rfam family: Bacterial small subunit ribosomal RNA
Source: RNAcentral